This is a long non-coding RNA of Tripterygium wilfordii, 529 nucleotides long. RefSeq lists it as uncharacterized. The record is from RefSeq and is a predicted model, not a curated record. The transcript has 2 exons. NCBI's taxonomy places the organism in Eukaryota, Viridiplantae, Streptophyta, Magnoliopsida, Celastrales, Celastraceae.
UAUCGUCUCAUUGCCUUAUCUCCCUUUGCAGGUCUUACUUGUAUUUGAUGUGGUUAUAAAGAAUAAGACAUGGAAUUACUAAUUCGAGGUUCACUUCUGGUUAUAAAGAAUAGGACAUGGAAUUACUAAUUCGAGGUCCUGAAGUGCAAAAUCACUUCAGAUGCCCUGAAUCCUCCAGCUUGUCACCAGGUGGAAUGGAAAAAAUAACUUGAAGAGAUCUACUUAAAGUCAAUAGUUGUUUAAUAUUGUAAAUUGGUCUUCAUUUUGUAUAAAAAUCAUCAAUUAAUAUUAAUUUGCAUUUUACCCAGAGUAGUUGAGGGGUCCAUAUUGGAGAUCUGAUGUGGACUGCUAACCUGAAUUGCGCAUUGAAUAUUGAGCUUGCUCUGGGUGCUGGAGUUUAUUUAGAAUUGCCAACAUUUCUGAUAAUCUUGCAUUGUUUCUGAAGUUUGUAAUGUGAGAAUAACAGCUGUGCUGUGAUGUAUUGAUGAGGAAAUCAUUAUGAGAUCUUGAGCACGCAAGUUUAAACUUA